This is a long non-coding RNA of Rosa chinensis, 153 nucleotides long. RefSeq lists it as uncharacterized. The record is from RefSeq and is a predicted model, not a curated record. The transcript has 3 exons. NCBI's taxonomy places the organism in Eukaryota, Viridiplantae, Streptophyta, Magnoliopsida, Rosales, Rosaceae.
UUUGUUGAUGGAACUAGAUCAAUUGAAAGGUUUGAUGCAAAAAAUUGUAGCUGUCAUUCUUCUGCUGCUGUUCCUCAGUCUGUUGUCCCUUCUUGUUUCAAUCUUUUGCUUUUAUUCAGAUUUGAGGAACAGUUUGUUGUUGCGUUGUUUAGC